AUUGAACGCUGGCGGCAGGCCUAACACAUGCAAGUCGAGCGAGCGGCGGACGGGUGAGUAAUGUCUGGGAAACUGCCUGAUGGAGGGGGAUAACUACUGGAAACGGUAGCUAAUACCGCAUACCAUCAGAUGUGCCCAGAGGGGAUUAGCUAGUAGGUGGGGUAACGGCUCACCUAGGCGACGAUCCCUAGCUGGUCUGAGAGGAUGACCAGCGAAACUGGAACUAAGACACGGUCCAGACUCCUACGGAAGGCAGCAGUGGGGAAUAUGGCACAAGGGGCGAAAGCCAGAUGCAGCCAUGCCGCGUGUGUGAAGAAGGCCUUCGGGUUGGAAAGCACUUUCAGCGGGGAGGCGUGACCCGCAGAAUAAGCACCGGCUAACUCCGUGCCAGCAGCCGCGGUAAUUC
This 406-nucleotide ribosomal RNA is filed under the name uncultured bacterium. RNAcentral describes it as "partial 16S ribosomal RNA". It matches the Rfam family "Bacterial small subunit ribosomal RNA", at positions 29 to 526 of the family's 1533-position model. The record is from RNAcentral.